AUGCUCUUGAAUUUCAGGCUGGUGAAAGGUGACAGCUUGACAGCUCUGGUAAGCCUUUGCCCACGCAGCAGGUACAGCAAUGGAAACCCAAGCUUUCCCUGCAGCGUGUUCCCCUCCAGCCGGCUCGCUCGCUGCACCUCUUGUCCAGGAAAACCCCUCCGAGGAGUGGCAGCGCUCCGGAGAGAAUCACGAUGGCUGUCCCCAUGUUUCCUAAGUAACCGGGCCCUAGGGGAGCUGUUUAUUCCUGAGUGUCCCGCUGCGCAAAACAUUUCUGCUCCGCACCGACUCGCCCAUUGGCUGCCAUUGCCAUCGGAGGAAGCUGCGUGCAGGAGGAGCAGUGUUGCUAAGAGCUUAGCCCCGCGCUCCACUCUGCAGCGAUGGAGGUGGGAAGGCGCAAGGGAGAAAUCUCCCGGGAGCUGGCUCCGUGCUGGGCUGGGAUCUGCCCCCGAACGCCAGGGAGUACGGGAGCAGAUGUUGCAGGCUGUGCUCCUGCUGUAGCCAGCCACACGUAUGUAGUGCCCGAAGAGGAAGAGGAAGUGGCGGCAAUAUUGAAACUGUGUUGUGAAAAGGAUUAAGCUAAAUAAAUGGAAAUGGUAGGCUGGGUGUCA
RNAcentral lists this long non-coding RNA (608 nucleotides) under Struthio camelus australis. Its description in RNAcentral is "lncRNA (ENSSCUG00000002806.1)". Lineage: Eukaryota; Metazoa; Chordata; Aves; Struthioniformes; Struthionidae. The record is from RNAcentral.